This 358-nucleotide unclassified non-coding RNA is filed under the name soil metagenome. RNAcentral's name for it is "partial contains 5.8S ribosomal RNA, internal transcribed spacer 2, and large subunit ribosomal RNA". The stretch from base 1 to 120 matches the Rfam family "5.8S ribosomal RNA", at positions 35 to 154 of the family's 154-position model. The record is from RNAcentral.
GAUGAAGAACGUAGCGAGAUGCGAUAAGUAAUGUGAAUUGCAGAAUUCAGUGAAUCAUCGAAUCUUUGAACGCACAUUGCGCCCGUCAGUAUUCUGGCGGGCAUGCCUGUUCGAGCGUCAUUACGCCCCUCAAGUCCCCUGUGGACUUGGUGUUGGGGAUCGGCGAGGCUGGUUUUCCAGCACAGCCGUCCCUUAAAUUAAUUGGCGGUCUCGCCGUGGCCCUCCUCUGCGCAGUAGUAAAACACUCGCAACAGGAGCCCGGCGCGGUCCACUGCCGUAAAACCCCCCAACUUUUUAUAGUUGACCUCGAAUCAGGUAGGACUACCCGCUGAACUUAAGCAUAUCAAUAAGCGGAGGA